AUACGGAGGAUCCGAGCGUUAUCCGGAUUUAUUGGGUUUAAAGGGUGCGCAGGCGGGAGAUUAAGUCGGCGGUGAAAUUUUGCAGCUCAACUGUAAAAGUGCCUUCGAAACUGGUUUCCUUGAGUGUAGAUGAAGUAGGCGGAAUUUGUGGGGUAGCGGUGAAAUGCAUGUAUAUCAAGAGGAAAUCCGAUUGCGCAGGCAGCUUACCAAACUACUACUGACGCUCAGGCACGAAGGCGUGGGGAUCAAACAGGAUUAGAUACCCUGGUAGUCCACGCAGUAAACGAUGAUUACUAGCUGUUUGCGAUACAAUGUAAGCGGCUGAGCGAAAGCGUUAAGUAAUCCACCUGGGGACUACGUUCGCAAGAAUGAACCUCAAAGGAAUUGACGGGG
Molecule: ribosomal RNA, 393 nt
Filed under: uncultured bacterium
Lineage: Bacteria
Description: partial 16S ribosomal RNA
Rfam family: Bacterial small subunit ribosomal RNA
Source: RNAcentral